This 2928-nucleotide ribosomal RNA is filed under the name Salmonella enterica. Its description in RNAcentral is "bacterial LSU rRNA". It matches the Rfam family "Bacterial large subunit ribosomal RNA". The record is from RNAcentral. Lineage: Bacteria; Pseudomonadati; Pseudomonadota; Gammaproteobacteria; Enterobacterales; Enterobacteriaceae.
GGGUUGUGAGGUUAAGCGACUAAGCGUACACGGUGGAUGCCCUGGCAGUCAGAGGCGAUGAAGGGCGUGCUAAUCUGCGAUAAGCGCCGGUAAGGUGAUAUGAACCGUUAUAACCGGCGAUACCCGAAUGGGGAAACCCAGUGUGACUCGUCACACUAUCAUUAACUGAAUCCAUAGGUUAAUGAGGCGAACCGGGGGAACUGAAACAUCUAAGUACCCCGAGGAAAAGAAAUCAACCGAGAUUCCCCCAGUAGCGGCGAGCGAACGGGGAGGAGCCCAGAGCCUGAAUCAGCAUGUGUGUUAGUGGAAGCGUCUGGAAAGGCGCGCGAUACAGGGUGACAGCCCCGUACACAAAAGCGCAUGUGCUGUGAGCUCGAUGAGUAGGGCGGGACACGUGGUAUCCUGUCUGAAUAUGGGGGGACCAUCCUCCAAGGCUAAAUACUCCUGACUGACCGAUAGUGAACCAGUACCGUGAGGGAAAGGCGAAAAGAACCCCGGCGAGGGGAGUGAAAAAGAACCUGAAACCGUGUACGUACAAGCAGUGGGAGCACAGGUUUACCUGUGUGACUGCGUACCUUUUGUAUAAUGGGUCAGCGACUUAUAUUCUGUAGCAAGGUUAACCGUAUAGGGGAGCCGGAGGGAAACCGAGUCUUAAUUGGGCGUUAAGUUGCAGGGUAUAGACCCGAAACCCGGUGAUCUAGCCAUGGGCAGGUUGAAGGUUGGGUAACACUAACUGGAGGACCGAACCGACUAAUGUUGAAAAAUUAGCGGAUGACCUGUGGCUGGGGGUGAAAGGCCAAUCAAACCGGGAGAUAGCUGGUUCUCCCCGAAAGCUAUUUAGGUAGCGCCUCGUGAAUUCAUCUCCGGGGGUAGAGCACUGUUUCGGCUAGGGGGCCAUCCCGGCUUACCAACCCGAUGCAAACUGCGAAUACCGGAGAAUGUUAUCACGGGAGACACACGGCGGGUGCUAACGUCCGUCGUGAAGAGGGAAACAACCCAGACCGCCAGCUAAGGUCCCAAAGUCAUGGUUAAGUGGGAAACGAUGUGGGAAGGCCCAGACAGCCAGGAUGUUGGCUUAGAAGCAGCCAUCAUUUAAAGAAAGCGUAAUAGCUCACUGGUCGAGUCGGCCUGCGCGGAAGAUGUAACGGGGCUAAACCAUGCACCGAAGCUGCGGCAGCGACACUGUGUGUUGUUGGGUAGGGGAGCGUUCUGUAAGCCUGCGAAGGUGGCCUGUGAGGGUUGCUGGAGGUAUCAGAAGUGCGAAUGCUGACAUAAGUAACGAUAAAGCGGGUGAAAAGCCCGCUCGCCGGAAGACCAAGGGUUCCUGUCCAACGUUAAUCGGGGCAGGGUGAGUCGACCCCUAAGGCGAGGCCGAAAGGCGUAGUCGAUGGGAAACAGGUUAAUAUUCCUGUACUUGGUGUUACUGCGAAGGGGGGACGGAGAAGGCUAUGUUGGCCGGGCGACGGUUGUCCCGGUUUAAGCGUGUAGGUGUGUGUUCCAGGUAAAUCCGGUUCACUUUAACACUGAGGCGUGAUGACGAGGCACUACGGUGCUGAAGCAACAAAUGCCCUGCUUCCAGGAAAAGCCUCUAAGCAUCAGGUAACAUCAAAUCGUACCCCAAACCGACACAGGUGGUCAGGUAGAGAAUACCAAGGCGCUUGAGAGAACUCGGGUGAAGGAACUAGGCAAAAUGGUGCCGUAACUUCGGGAGAAGGCACGCUGACACGUAGGUGAAGUGAUUUACUCAUGGAGCUGAAGUCAGUCGAAGAUACCAGCUGGCUGCAACUGUUUAUUAAAAACACAGCACUGUGCAAACACGAAAGUGGACGUAUACGGUGUGACGCCUGCCCGGUGCCGGAAGGUUAAUUGAUGGGGUCAGCGCAAGCGAAGCUCCUGAUCGAAGCCCCGGUAAACGGCGGCCGUAACUAUAACGGUCCUAAGGUAGCGAAAUUCCUUGUCGGGUAAGUUCCGACCUGCACGAAUGGCGUAAUGAUGGCCAGGCUGUCUCCACCCGAGACUCAGUGAAAUUGAACUCGCUGUGAAGAUGCAGUGUACCCGCGGCAAGACGGAAAGACCCCGUGAACCUUUACUAUAGCUUGACACUGAACAUUGAGCCUUGAUGUGUAGGAUAGGUGGGAGGCUUUGAAGCGUGGACGCCAGUCUGCGUGGAGCCGACCUUGAAAUACCACCCUUUAAUGUUUGAUGUUCUAACGUGGACCCGUAAUCCGGGUUGCGGACAGUGUCUGGUGGGUAGUUUGACUGGGGCGGUCUCCUCCUAAAGAGUAACGGAGGAGCACGAAGGUUGGCUAAUCCUGGUCGGACAUCAGGAGGUUAGUGCAAUGGCAUAAGCCAGCUUGACUGCGAGCGUGACGGCGCGAGCAGGUGCGAAAGCAGGUCAUAGUGAUCCGGUGGUUCUGAAUGGAAGGGCCAUCGCUCAACGGAUAAAAGGUACUCCGGGGAUAACAGGCUGAUACCGCCCAAGAGUUCAUAUCGACGGCGGUGUUUGGCACCUCGAUGUCGGCUCAUCACAUCCUGGGGCUGAAGUAGGUCCCAAGGGUAUGGCUGUUCGCCAUUUAAAGUGGUACGCGAGCUGGGUUUAGAACGUCGUGAGACAGUUCGGUCCCUAUCUGCCGUGGGCGCUGGAGAACUGAGGGGGGCUGCUCCUAGUACGAGAGGACCGGAGUGGACGCAUCACUGGUGUUCGGGUUGUCAUGCCAAUGGCACUGCCCGGUAGCUAAAUGCGGAAGAGAUAAGUGCUGAAAGCAUCUAAGCACGAAACUUGCCCCGAGAUGAGUUCUCCCUGAGACUUAGAGUCUCCUGAAGGAACGUUGAAGACGACGACGUUGAUAGGCCGGGUGUGUAAGCGCAGCGAUGCGUUGAGCUAACCGGUACUAAUGAACCGUGAGGCUUAACCUUACAACGCCGAAG